Callorhinus ursinus (northern fur seal) is the source of this 131-nucleotide non-coding RNA. The record is from RefSeq and is a predicted model, not a curated record. NCBI's taxonomy places the organism in Eukaryota, Metazoa, Chordata, Mammalia, Carnivora, Otariidae.
CACAUGAUGAGGAGAGACACGCCUCCUGAGGGAUCCAUGAGGCAGGAACCGAUGCCGGGAAGAUCCGAGAUAUGGAACCGUGUGCAGAGAGAAUCUAGACCGGUUCCCAGGAUGAACAGCAGCACCAGCCC